This 403-nucleotide ribosomal RNA is filed under the name uncultured Sphingomonas sp. Its description in RNAcentral is "bacterial SSU rRNA". It matches the Rfam family "Bacterial small subunit ribosomal RNA", at positions 355 to 774 of the family's 1533-position model. The record is from RNAcentral. Lineage: Bacteria; Pseudomonadati; Pseudomonadota; Alphaproteobacteria; Sphingomonadales; Sphingomonadaceae.
UGGGGAAUAUUGGACAAUGGGCGAAAGCCUGAUCCAGCAAUGCCGCGUGAGUGAUGAAGGCCUUAGGGUUGUAAAGCUCUUUUACCCGGGAAGAUAAUGACUGUACCGGGAGAAUAAGCUCCGGCUAACUCCGUGCCAGCAGCCGCGGUAAUACGGGGGGAGGACGUAGCGUUGUUCGGAAUUACUGGGCGUAAAGCGCACGUAGGCGGCUAUUCAAGUCAGAGGUGAAAGCCCGGGGCUCAACCCCGGACUGCUUUGAAUCUAGAUAGCUUGAAUCCAGGAGAGGUGAGUGGAAUUCCGAGUGUAGAGGUGAAAUUCGUAGAUAUUCGGAAGAACACCAGUGGCGAAGGCGGCUCACUGGACUGGUAUUGACGCUGAGGUGCGAAAGCGUGGGGAGCAAACA